RNAcentral lists this ribosomal RNA (497 nucleotides) under uncultured bacterium. RNAcentral describes it as "partial 16S ribosomal RNA". It matches the Rfam family "Bacterial small subunit ribosomal RNA", at positions 28 to 507 of the family's 1533-position model. The record is from RNAcentral.
GAUGAACGCUGGCGGCGUGCCUAAUACAUGCAAGUCGAGCGAACAGACGAGGAGCUUGCUCCUCUGACGUUAGCGGCGGACGGGUGAGUAACACGUGGAUAACCUACCUAUAAGACUGGGAUAACUUCGGGAAACCGGGGCUAAUACCGGAUAAUAUAUUGAACCGCAUGGUUCAAUAGUGAAAGACGGUUUUGCUGUCACUUAUAGAUGGAUCCGCGCCGCAUUAGCUAGUUGGUAAGGUAACGGCUUACCAAGGCAACGAUGCGUAGCCGACCUGAGAGGGUGAUCGGCCACACUGGAACUGAGACACGGUCCAGACUCCUACGGGAGGCAGUAGUAGGGAAUCUUCCGCAAUGGGCGAAAGCCUGACGGAGCAACGCCGCGUGAGUGAUGAAGGUCUUCGGAUCGUAAAACUCUGUUAUUAGGGAAGAACAAAUGUGUAAGUAACUAUGCACGUCUUGACGGUACCUAAUCAGAAAGCCACGGCUAACUACGUG